Molecule: ribosomal RNA, 460 nt
Filed under: uncultured bacterium
Lineage: Bacteria
Description: partial 16S ribosomal RNA
Rfam family: Bacterial small subunit ribosomal RNA
Source: RNAcentral
CCUACGGGCGGCUGCAGUGAGGAAUAUUGGUCAAUGGGCGCGAGCCUGAACCAGCCACGUAGCGUGAAGGAUGACUGCCCUACGGGUUGUAAACUCCUUUUAUAAAGGAAUAAAGUGAGGCACGUGUGCCUUUUUGCAUGUCCUUUAUGAAUAAGGAUCGGCUAACUCCGUGCCAGCAGCCGCGGUAAUACGGAGGUUCCGAGCGUUAUCCGGAUUUAUUGGGUUUAAAGGGAGCGUAGAUGGGUUGUUAAGUCAGGUGUGAAAGUUUGCGGCUCAACCGUAAAAUUGCAAUGGAUACUGGCAGUCUUGAGUACAGUUGAGGUAGGCGGAAUUCGUGGUGUAGCGGUGAAAUGCUUAGAUAUCACGAAGAACUCCGAUGGCGAAGGCAGCUUACUAAACUGCCACUGACAUUGAUGCUCGAAAGUGUGGGUAUCAAACAGGAUUAGAUACCCUUGUAGUC